Molecule: ribosomal RNA, 371 nt
Filed under: uncultured bacterium
Lineage: Bacteria
Description: bacterial SSU rRNA
Rfam family: Bacterial small subunit ribosomal RNA
Source: RNAcentral
GAUGAACGCUAGCGGCAGGCUUAAUACAUGCAAGUCGUGGGGCAGCAUGAGUGUAGCAAUACAUUUGAUGGCGACCGGCAAACGGGUGCGGAACACGUACACAACCUUCCUUCAAGUGGGGAAUAGCCCAGGGAAACUUGGAUUAAUACCCCGUAAUAUUAUGGAGUGGCAUCACUUUAUAAUUAUAGCUCCGGCGCUUGAUGAUGGGUGUGCGCCNGAUUAGGUAGUUGGCGGGGUAACGGGCCCACCAAGCCUUCCGUAUCAGUAACUGGCGUGAGAGCACGACCAGUCACACGGGCACUGAGACACGGGCCCGACUCCUACGGGAGGCAGCAGUAAGGAAUAUUGGUCAAUGGACGCAAGUCUGAACC